UACGUAGGCAGCGAGCGUUGUUCGGAGUUACUGGGCGUAAAGGGUGUGUAGGCGGUUCUCUAAGUUUGGGGUGAAAUCUCCCGGCUCAACCGGGAGGGUGCGCCGAAAACUGGAGGGCUAGAGUGCGGGAAGGGAGAGUAGAAUUCCUGGUGUAGCGGUGAAAUGCGUAGAUAUCAGGAGGAAUACCGGUGGUGCAGACGGCUCUCUGGACCGCGACUGACGCUGAGACACGAAAGCGUGGGUAGCAAACAGG
Molecule: ribosomal RNA, 253 nt
Filed under: uncultured bacterium
Lineage: Bacteria
Description: partial 16S ribosomal RNA
Rfam family: Bacterial small subunit ribosomal RNA
Source: RNAcentral